RNAcentral lists this unclassified non-coding RNA (76 nucleotides) under Trypanosoma theileri. Lineage: Eukaryota; Euglenozoa; Kinetoplastea; Trypanosomatida; Trypanosomatidae. The record is from RNAcentral.
AAAACAAACAAAAACAAAAUAAUAUAAAAAAAUAUGGGUUUUUCAUAUUCUCAUAUAUAUUUUUUAUUUAUUCAUU